GAUGAAGAACGCAGCGAAAUGCGAUAAGUAGUGUGAAUUGCAGAAUUCAGUGAAUCAUCGAAUCUUUGAACGCACAUUGCGCCCUUUGGUAUUCCUUAGGGCAUGCCUGUUCGAGCGUCAUUUAAACCUUCAAGCUCAGCUUGGUGUUGGGUGACUGUCCGCUUCACCGCGGACUCGCCUCAAAAUUAUUGGCGGCCGGUACAUUGGCUUCGAGCGCAGCAGAAACGCGAACUCGGGCCCGUCGUAUUGGCUCCCAGAAGCUAUCUUCACAAUUUUGACCUCGGAUCAGGUAGGGAUACCCGCUGAACUUAAGCAUAUCAAUAAGCGGAGG
This 331-nucleotide unclassified non-coding RNA is filed under the name soil metagenome. RNAcentral's name for it is "partial contains 5.8S ribosomal RNA, internal transcribed spacer 2, and large subunit ribosomal RNA". The stretch from base 1 to 120 matches the Rfam family "5.8S ribosomal RNA", at positions 35 to 154 of the family's 154-position model. The record is from RNAcentral.